This 1489-nucleotide ribosomal RNA is filed under the name Companilactobacillus crustorum. RNAcentral's name for it is "bacterial SSU rRNA". It matches the Rfam family "Bacterial small subunit ribosomal RNA". Lineage: Bacteria; Bacillati; Bacillota; Bacilli; Lactobacillales; Lactobacillaceae. The record is from RNAcentral.
GACGAACGCUGGCGGCAUGCCUAAUGCAUGCAAGUCGAACGAACCAUCCUGAAGAUUGAAGCUUGCUUCAUGAUUCAGACCUUGGUGAGUGGCGGACGGGUGAGUAACACGUGGGUAACCUGCCCAAAAGUGGGGGAUAACAUCUGGAAACAGGUGCUAAUACCGCAUAACAACUACUUUCUCAUGAUCGUAGCUUGAAAGAUGGCUCUGCUAUCGCUUUUGGAUGGACCCGCGGCGUAUUAGCUAGUUGGUGAGGUAAUAGCUCACCAAGGCAAUGAUACGUAGCCGACCUGAGAGGGUAAUCGGCCACAUUGGGACUGAGACACGGCCCAAACUCCUACGGGAGGCAGCAGUAGGGAAUCUUCCACAAUGGGCGAAAGCCUGAUGGAGCAAUGCCGCGUGAGUGAAGAAGGUUUUCGGAUCGUAAAACUCUGUUGUUGAAGAAGAACAUGCGUGAGAGUAACUGUUCACGUACUGACGGUAUUCAACCAGAAAGCCACGGCUAACUACGUGCCAGCAGCCGCGGUAAUACGUAGGUGGCAAGCGUUGUCCGGAUUUAUUGGGCGUAAAGAGAAUGUAGGCGGUUUAUUAAGUUUGAAGUGAAAGCCCUCGGCUCAACCGAGGAAGUGCUUCGAAAACUGGUAAACUUGAGUGCAGAAGAGGAAAGUGGAACUCCAUGUGUAGCGGUGGAAUGCGUAGAUAUAUGGAAGAACACCAGUGGCGAAGGCGGCUUUCUGGUCUGUAACUGACGCUGAGAUUCGAAAGCAUGGGUAGCAAACAGGAUUAGAUACCCUGGUAGUCCAUGCCGUAAACGAUGAGUGCUAAGUGUUGGAGGGUUUCCGCCCUUCAGUGCUGCAGCUAACGCAUUAAGCACUCCGCCUGGGGAGUACGAUCGCAAGAUUGAAACUCAAAGGAAUUGACGGGGGCCCGCACAAGCGGUGGAGCAUGUGGUUUAAUUCGAAGCAACGCGAAGAACCUUACCAGGUCUUGACAUACCAUGAAAAGCUAAGAGAUUAGUCUUUCCCUUCGGGGACAUGGAUACAGGUGGUGCAUGGUUGUCGUCAGCUCGUGUCGUGAGAUGUUGGGUUAAGUCCCGCAACGAGCGCAACCCUUAUUAUCAGUUGCCAGCAUUCAGUUGGGCACUCUGGUGAGACUGCCGGUGACAAACCGGAGGAAGGUGGGGACGACGUCAAAUCAUCAUGCCCCUUAUGACCUGGGCUACACACGUGCUACAAUGGUCGGUACAACGUGCUGCGAACUCGCGAGGGUAAGCAAAUCACUUAAAACCGAUCUCAGUUCGGAUUGUAGGCUGCAACUCGCCUACAUGAAGCUGGAAUCGCUAGUAAUCGCGGAUCAGCAUGCCGCGGUGAAUACGUUCCCGGGCCUUGUACACACCGCCCGUCACACCAUGAGAGUUUGUAACACCCAAAGUCGGUGGGGUAACCCUUCGGGGAACUAGCCGCCUAAGGUGGGACAAAUGAUUAGGGUG